GCCGGGGCUGGGGCAGGGCUGGGCUGGGCUGGGCUCCGCGUCCGCAGCGCUGCGGACCUUUU
This 62-nucleotide microRNA precursor is filed under the name Notamacropus eugenii (tammar wallaby). Its description in RNAcentral is "miRNA (ENSMEUG00000016803.1)". The record is from RNAcentral. Lineage: Eukaryota; Metazoa; Chordata; Mammalia; Diprotodontia; Macropodidae.